UACGUAGGGUGCAAGCGUUGUCCGGAAUUAUUGGGCGUAAAGAGCUCGUAGGCGGUUUGUCGCGUCUGCUGUGAAAACUUGGGGCUCAACCCCAAGCUUGCGGUCGAUACGGGCAGGCUCGAGUUCGGUAGGGGAGACUGGAAUUCCUGGUGUAGCGGUGAAAUGCGCAGAUAUCAGGAGGAACACCGGUGGCGAAGGCGGGUCUCUGGGCCGAUACUGACGCUGAGGAGCGAAAGCGUGGGGAGCGAACAGG
RNAcentral lists this ribosomal RNA (253 nucleotides) under uncultured bacterium. Its description in RNAcentral is "partial 16S ribosomal RNA". It matches the Rfam family "Bacterial small subunit ribosomal RNA", at positions 524 to 776 of the family's 1533-position model. The record is from RNAcentral.